AGAGUUUGAUCCUGGCUCAGGAUGAACGCUGGCGGCGUGGAUAAGGCAUGCAAGUCAAGGGGGCCCGCAAGGGCAACCGGCGAACGAGGUAGUAACACGUAGGUACGCACACAAGAGUCUGGCAUAGCUUCUCGAAAGAGGAGGUAAUUCCGGAUAGUCUCAAAGAUUUAUUUCUGCGAGUAAAGUUUUUCGCUCUUGGAGCGGCCUGCGGAGUAUCAGCUAGUUGGUAAGGUAAUGGCUUACCAAGGCUAUGACGCUUAGGGGAGGUGAGAGCCUGACCCCCACCGAUGGGACUGAGACACGGCCCAUACACCUACGGGUGGCUGCAGUCGAGAAUCUUCCGCAAUGGGCGAAAGCCUGACGGAGCGACGCCGCGUGGUUGAUGAAGUGCUUCGGCACGUAAAAACCUUUUAUGAGGGAGAAAAUUCGUUGAUAGUACCUCAUGAAUAAGGAGCUCCAAACUCUGUGCCAGCAGGAGCGGUAAUACAGAGGCUCCAAGCGUUAUCCGGAAUCACUGGGCGUAAAGGGUGUGUAGGUGGUUUAGUUAGUCUUUCGUUAACGCUCCCGGCCCAACCGGGAAAAAGCGAAAGAAACGGCUAGACUAGAGGAUGCGAGAGGUGCGUGGAACUUAUGGAGUAGGGGUGAAAUCCGUUGAUACCAUAGGGAACACCAAAAGCGAAGGCAGCGCACUGGCGCACUCCUGACACUGAAACACGAAAGCGUAGGUAGCGAAUGGGAUUAGAUACCCCAGUAGUCUACGCCCUAAACGAUGAUCGUUGGCUUUUCGGAGUAUCGACCCUCUGAGAGGCGAAGCUAACGCGUUAAACGAUCCGCCUGGGUAGUACGAGCGCAAGCUUAAAACUCAAAGGAAUAGACGGGGACUUGCACAAGCGGUGGAUUAUGCGGUUUAAUUCGAUGGUAAACGAAAAACCUUACCAAGGCUAGAAAUCUAUCUGAAUCCUAGAAGAAACUUUAGGAGCCUCACAAGGGCAGAUAGACAGGUGAUGCAUGGCCGUCGUCAGUUCGUGGUUUAAGCUGUUCCCUUAAGUGGGGUAACGAACGCAACCCUUAUUGGCUGUUACAAGUGUCAGCCGAGACUACCCAGCACUUUGUUUGCGAAGCAAACAAAGUGAGUAGCUAGCAGUAAGUACCUAGUAAACAGGUUUUUAAACCUAGAUGCUAGAUACUGUUUGCUGACUACUGCACACUUCGUGUGCAAGGUGCUGGGAGGAAGCGAGGAUAACGCCAGGUCAGCAUGUCCCUUUGACGCCUUGGGCUACACGCAUAAUACAAUGGUCACUACAACAGGUCGCGACGUCGUAAGACUGAGCUAAUCCUUAGAAAAGUGGCCUCAGUUCGGAUUGGGGGCUGAAACUCGACCCCAUGAAGUUGGAAUCGCUAGUAAUCGCAGGUCAGCUAUACUGCGGUGAAUACGUUCUCAAGUCUUGUACUCACCGCCCGUCAACUCAAGGGAGAUGGGAGUACCCGAAAGCUCGCUUUAUUGUGGGACUAAGGUAAAUUCAUUGACAGGGAGUAAGUCGUAACAAGGUA
This 1551-nucleotide ribosomal RNA is filed under the name uncultured bacterium. RNAcentral describes it as "bacterial SSU rRNA". It matches the Rfam family "Bacterial small subunit ribosomal RNA". The record is from RNAcentral.